CGCGUAGGCGGCCAUGCGUGUCUUCCGUGAAAUCCCUCGGCUUAACUGAGGACGUGCGGAAGAAACUGCAAGGCUUGAGUCCGGGAGAGGGGGGUGGAAUUCCCAGUGUAGCGGUGAAAUGCGUAGAUAUUGGGAGGAACACCGGUGGCGAAGGCGGCCCCCUGGACCGGUACUGACGCUGAGGCGCGAAAGUGUGGGUAGCAAACG
Molecule: ribosomal RNA, 207 nt
Filed under: uncultured bacterium
Lineage: Bacteria
Description: partial 16S ribosomal RNA
Rfam family: Bacterial small subunit ribosomal RNA
Source: RNAcentral